CACUACAGAAAGGAUGUGGAAACUUUCGAGAGGAUGCGGAGGAGAUUUACCAGGAUUAGAGAGCAUGCCUUAUGAAGGAAGGCUGAGCAAGCUGGGGCUUUUCUCUUUGGAGCACAGGAAGAUGUGAGGUAGUCUGAACCAGCUCAGGAACAUACAAGAUUGGAUUAGACUACGGCAAUGAGCAAUAGAGCCAGAGAUACUGGAUGUCACUAUGCUUCUGGAAGUGCAAAACCUAAAGCAAAGGAAGAAAAAGAAAGAAGAGACCAACUUGUGUUAUCAAAAACACAAAAAAAAAGUUGACAGAAUAUUUUAAAAAUGAACUAAGGAGCACCAUGGGUCAAAACAGAUUGAUCAAUCUCACUCGAAUGAGCAUUGAACAUGAACUUCUGCGUGAAAUAGACAUUUCCAGUAUCAUCAACAAAUUUGCUCAUGCUACAUCUAGAAAAUGUAACUUUUUAAUUGUAGUUUUGUUACUUUUGACAUUUGAAAUUAAUACCUACAUGUAAGCAAUACUACUACUGAAGUGUCAAACAUUUGU
Molecule: long non-coding RNA, 538 nt
Organism: Hypanus sabinus (Atlantic stingray)
Lineage: Eukaryota; Metazoa; Chordata; Chondrichthyes; Myliobatiformes; Dasyatidae
Exons: 3
Source: RefSeq, a predicted model, not a curated record